UGGGGAAUAUUGCACAAUGGGCGAAAGCCUGGUGCAGCGACGCCGCGUGAGGGAUGACGGCCUUCGGGUUGUAAACCUCUUUCAGCAGGGACGAAGCGCAAGUGACGGUACCUGCAGAAGAAGCACCGGCUAACUACGUGCCAGCAGCCGCGGUAAUACGUAGGUGGCGAGCGUUAUCCGGAUUUACUGGGCGUAAAGCGUGUGCAGACUGACUAGCAAGUGGUGUAUGAAAUCGCGGUGCUUAACACAGCGAGGUUAUGCCAGACUGCUGGACUAGAGUGCGAGAGAGGGAUGUGGAAUUCCGGGUGUAGUGGUGAAAUGCGUAGAGAUCCGGAGGAACCCCAGAGGCGAAAGCGGCGUCCUGGCUCGCAACUGACGUUCAGACACGACAGCAUGGGGAGCAAACGGGAUUAGAUACCCGAGUAGUCCCUGAGCGGGCUGGCAAGGCGCAU
RNAcentral lists this ribosomal RNA (452 nucleotides) under uncultured bacterium. Its description in RNAcentral is "bacterial SSU rRNA". It matches the Rfam family "Bacterial small subunit ribosomal RNA", at positions 355 to 825 of the family's 1533-position model. The record is from RNAcentral.